This 747-nucleotide ribosomal RNA is filed under the name Vibrio sp. CCH-49. Its description in RNAcentral is "bacterial SSU rRNA". It matches the Rfam family "Bacterial small subunit ribosomal RNA", at positions 51 to 776 of the family's 1533-position model. The record is from RNAcentral. Lineage: Bacteria; Pseudomonadati; Pseudomonadota; Gammaproteobacteria; Vibrionales; Vibrionaceae.
ACACAUGCAAGUCGAGCGGAAACGACACUAACAAUCCUUCGGGUGCGUUAAUGGGCGUCGAGCGGCGGACGGGUGAGUAAUGCCUAGGAAAUUGCCUUGAUGUGGGGGAUAACCAUUGGAAACGAUGGCUAAUACCGCAUAAUGCCUACGGGCCAAAGAGGGGGACCUUCGGGCCUCUCGCGUCAAGAUAUGCCUAGGUGGGAUUAGCUAGUUGGUGAGGUAAUGGCUCACCAAGGCGACGAUCCCUAGCUGGUCUGAGAGGAUGAUCAGCCACACUGGAACUGAGACACGGUCCAGACUCCUACGGGAGGCAGCAGUGGGGAAUAUUGCACAAUGGGCGAAAGCCUGAUGCAGCCAUGCCGCGUGUAUGAAGAAGGCCUUCGGGUUGUAAAGUACUUUCAGUUGUGAGGAAGGGGGUAACGUUAAUAGCGGUAUCUCUUGACGUUAGCAACAGAAGAAGCACCGGCUAACUCCGUGCCAGCAGCCGCGGUAAUACGGAGGGUGCGAGCGUUAAUCGGAAUUACUGGGCGUAAAGCGCAUGCAGGUGGUUCAUUAAGUCAGAUGUGAAAGCCCGGGGCUCAACCUCGGAACUGCAUUUGAAACUGGUGAACUAGAGUACUGUAGAGGGGGGUAGAAUUUCAAGUGUAGCGGUGAAAUGCGUAGAGCAUCUGAAGGAAUACCAGUGGCGAAGGCGGCCCCUCGACAGAUACUGACACUCAAAUGCUAAAGCCUGGGGGUGCAAACAGG